UGGGGAAUUUUGGACAAUGGGGGAAACCCUGAUCCAGCCAUCCCGCGUGUGCGAUGAAGGCCUUCGGGUUGUAAAGCACUUUUGGCAGGAAAGAAACGUCAUGGGUUAAUACCCCGUGAAACUGACGGUACCUGCAGAAUAAGCACCGGCUAACUACGUGCCAGCAGCCGCGGUAAUACGUAGGGUGCAAGCGUUAAUCGGAAUUACUGGGCGUAAAGCGUGCGCAGGCGGUUCGGAAAGAAAGAUGUGAAAUCCCAGAGCUCAACUUUGGAACUGCAUUUUUAACUACCGGGCUAGUGUGUCAGAGGGAGGUGGAAUUCCGCGUGUAGCAGUGAAAUGCGUAGAUAUGCGGAGGAACACCGAUGGCGAAGGCAGCCUCCUGGGAUAACACUGACGCUCAUGCACGAAAGCGUGGGGAGCAAACAGG
RNAcentral lists this ribosomal RNA (427 nucleotides) under Acidobacteriota bacterium. RNAcentral's name for it is "Acidobacteria bacterium partial 16S ribosomal RNA". It matches the Rfam family "Bacterial small subunit ribosomal RNA", at positions 355 to 776 of the family's 1533-position model. The record is from RNAcentral. Lineage: Bacteria; Pseudomonadati; Acidobacteriota.